RNAcentral lists this ribosomal RNA (680 nucleotides) under Escherichia coli. Its description in RNAcentral is "bacterial SSU rRNA". It matches the Rfam family "Bacterial small subunit ribosomal RNA", at positions 865 to 1533 of the family's 1533-position model. The record is from RNAcentral. Lineage: Bacteria; Pseudomonadati; Pseudomonadota; Gammaproteobacteria; Enterobacterales; Enterobacteriaceae.
UCGACCGCCUGGGGAGUACGGCCGCAAGGUUAAAACUCAAAUGAAUUGACGGGGGCCCGCACAAGCGGUGGAGCAUGUGGUUUAAUUCGAUGCAACGCGAAGAACCUUACCUGGUCUUGACAUCCACGGAAGUUUUCAGAGAUGGAAUGGUGCCUUCGGGAACCGUGAGACAGGUGCUGCAUGGCUGUCGUCAGCUCGUGUUGUGAAAUGUUGGGUUAAGUCCCGCAACGAGCGCAACCCUUAUCCUUUGUUGCCAGCGGUCCGGCCGGGAACUCAAAGGAGACUGCCAGUGAUAAACUGGAGGAAGGUGGGGAUGACGUCAAGUCAUCAUGGCCCUUACGACCAGGGCUACACACGUGCUACAAUGGCGCAUACAAAGAGAAGCGACCUCGCGAGAGCAAGCGGACCUCAUAAAGUGCGUCGUAGUCCGGAUUGGAGUCUGCAACUCGACUCCAUGAAGUCGGAAUCGCUAGUAAUCGUGGAUCAGAAUGCCACGGUGAAUACGUUCCCGGGCCUUGUACACACCGCCCGUCACACCAUGGGAGUGGGUUGCAAAAGAAGUAGGUAGCUUAACCUUCGGGAGGGCGCUUACCACUUUGUGAUUCAUGACUGGGGUGAAGUCGUAACAAGGUAACCGUAGGGGAACCUGCGGUUGGAUCACCUCCUUACCUUAAAGAAGC